Molecule: regulatory RNA element, 56 nt
Organism: Devosia soli
Lineage: Bacteria; Pseudomonadati; Pseudomonadota; Alphaproteobacteria; Hyphomicrobiales; Devosiaceae
Rfam family: terC RNA
Source: Rfam
GGGCAGCGCCGGGCCCCUCUGGUCAUGGUCCCCCAUGGCGAUGUCGGAGCUGCUCC